This 253-nucleotide ribosomal RNA is filed under the name uncultured bacterium. Its description in RNAcentral is "partial 16S ribosomal RNA". It matches the Rfam family "Bacterial small subunit ribosomal RNA", at positions 524 to 776 of the family's 1533-position model. The record is from RNAcentral.
UACGGGGGGGGCAAGCGUUAUUCGGAUUUACUGGGCGUAAAGGGCGCGUAGGCGGCGUGGUAAGUCACUUGUGAAAUCUCUGAGCUUAACUCAGAACGGCCAAGUGAUACUGCUGUGCUAGAGUGCAGAAGGGGCAAUCGGAAUUCUUGGUGUAGCGGUGAAAUGCGUAGAUAUCAAGAGGAACACCUGAGGUGAAGACGGGUUGCUGGGCUGACACUGACGCUGAGGCGCGAAAGCCAGGGGAGCAAACGGG